RNAcentral lists this ribosomal RNA (498 nucleotides) under uncultured bacterium. RNAcentral describes it as "bacterial SSU rRNA". It matches the Rfam family "Bacterial small subunit ribosomal RNA", at positions 28 to 511 of the family's 1533-position model. The record is from RNAcentral.
GAUGAACGCUAGCUACAGGCUUAACACAUGCAAGUCGAGGGGAAACGAUAGAGAAAGCUUGCUUUUUCUAGGCGUCGACCGGCGCACGGGUGAGUAACGCGUAUCCAACCUGCCCACCACUUGGGGAUAACCUUGCGAAAGUAAGACUAAUACCCAAUGACGUCUCUAGAAGACAUCUGAAAGAGAUUAAAGAUUUAUCGGUGAUGGAUGGGGAUGCGUCUGAUUAGCUUGUUGGCGGGGUAACGGCCCACCAAGGCGACGAUCAGUAGGGGUUCUGAGAGGAAGGCCCCCCANAUUGGAACUGAGACACGGUCCAAAACUCCUACGGGAGGCAGCAGUGAGGAAUAUUGGUCAAUGGGGCGAGAGCCUGAACCAGCCAAGUAGCGUGAAGGAUGACUGCCCUAUGGGUUGUAAACUUCUUUUAUAAGGGAAUAAAGUGAGUCUCGUGAGACUUUUUGCAUGUACCUUAUGAAUAAGGACCGGCUAAUUCCGUGCCAG